GGGGAAUUUUCCGCAAUGGGCGAACGCCUGACUGAGCAAGACCGCGGGGGGGAGGAAGGUUCUUGGAUUGUCAACCCCUUCUCCCAGGGAAGAAGAAAGUGACGGUACCUGAGGAAGAAGCAUCGGCUAACUCCGUGCCAGCAGCCGCGGUAAUACGGGGGAUGCAAGCGUUAUCCGGAAUGAUUGGGCGUAAAGAGUCCGUAGGUGGCUCAUCAAGUCUGCUGUUAAAGAGCGAGGCUUAACUUCGUAAAAGCAGUGGAAACUGAAGAGCUAGAGUAUAGUAGGGGCAGAGGGAAUUCCUGGUGUAGCGGUGAAAUGCGUAGAGAUCAGGAAGAACACCGGUGGCGAAAGCGCUCUGCUGGGCUAAAACUGACACUGAGGGACGAAAGCUAGGGGAGCGAAUGGGAUUAGAUACCCCAGUAGUC
Molecule: ribosomal RNA, 425 nt
Filed under: uncultured cyanobacterium
Lineage: Bacteria; Bacillati; Cyanobacteriota
Description: bacterial SSU rRNA
Rfam family: Bacterial small subunit ribosomal RNA
Source: RNAcentral